ACGCUCGACACCUACGGGAGGCCGCAGUCGGGAAUAUUGCGCAAUGGAGGAAACUCUGACGCAGUGACGCCGCGUAUGGGAAGAAGGUUUUCGGAUUGUAAACCAUUUUAGACAAGGAAGAAACAAGACAGUACUUGUAGAAUAAGCUCCGGCUAACUACGUGUCAGCAGCCGCGGUAAUCUGAGCGGGCUGGCAAGGC
This 199-nucleotide ribosomal RNA is filed under the name uncultured bacterium. Its description in RNAcentral is "partial 16S ribosomal RNA". It matches the Rfam family "Bacterial small subunit ribosomal RNA", at positions 328 to 539 of the family's 1533-position model. The record is from RNAcentral.